CUGUUAGCCUGUUUCCUGGGAGAUUCUAAAUUGUGGUCAGAUUCUGUUUUUAUUCAGAUGAACAAGAUUAACUGCUUAUUCAGAUAACUGUUAUUUUGGAUAAUGAGGAUGGCUGAAGAAAUGGAAAAGAGUGCAAAUGAAUUUACUAGCUGAUGAAUAGCUAGUGUAAGAGUUACAUCAAUGCCCGACUUCCAUCAAGAAAUGAAGCCACAUCUUGGAGUAUUAUGGGGACUGUUACUAUGAUCUCAAAGACUGUGGUUAUGAAUUUGAAGGUAACAAAACAUACAUCUUCUGUUACUAACUUAAGCCAUAUACGUCAUCUCUAUGAUUGAUUUUUUUGACCCCGGUGCUUUUACUUCUGUUUCUGCCAAACUUUGGCCUACUCUAUGGGGAAGGUGAGUGAGUAAAACUAGUAGUUAGGACAAAUGUGAAGACUGUGAAAAAACUAAACAUGUUCUUCAGAACGAGAUCCUAGUCAGAGAACAGUAGUGAUCAAAGUGCAAACUGUUGGAAAAUCUGGAUAUAUGUACAUCUGUACAUGUAUAUAGUGUAUAAUAUGUAUGUAUAUGUUAUUGCUCAUAUGCAGAAAUCUA
RNAcentral lists this long non-coding RNA (593 nucleotides) under Bos taurus (domestic cattle). Its description in RNAcentral is "long non-coding RNA NONBTAT000646". Lineage: Eukaryota; Metazoa; Chordata; Mammalia; Artiodactyla; Bovidae. The record is from RNAcentral.